CUCAAACCUAGCAGCUUGAGCGGCCGUGCAUUUCCGUAACCGUCCGCUCCCGUUCGUGUAUCCAGUUGCGUUUGCUGAUUUUACGCGACCCCAAAGAAAACUUAAAACCUAUGGUUGCGUUUCACGAUUUUACGCGUCCCCAAAAAUCUACAGGAUCCGUCAAAUUAUCGCAUUAUCUGAUAGGUUCCGUCAGAGCUCUCGUUUUGGCGGAGUUGGGCCCGUUCCACCCCAACUCCAGGUCAUACCGGCUCGUCAGUUCCCAGUGAAAAAGAAUUGGCUGGCGCCGCCUGGCUUGUGGAUACAUAAGCUAAGGGUGGUCGGCCGAAGGUAACGUAGGUCAAUUCUCGAAUUUUUCGUUAUCGGUGUCGAGUUAAGAGAGAAUACGUUAAAAUACAUAUACAUAAUGGUACUUCUGCCCAACGUAUGAUUCAUGGCAAUACCAUUGCACACGAUCCAAAAUUAGCAUAGAACAUUAACAUUCGAUCAUAACCAACCCUGAAAGUAAAGUGCAGUGUGUACACACCAUAAAAAUAGAGUCAGUCAUAAACGAUACUAAUUUUGAAUCUCUAGAGCUGUAUAGAUAUACAUACCAAAAGCGUACUUGUGCAUAUCCGGUAUAGUUUAAUAAUGGCAACGUCGUAUAUCCUAACGUAGACAGAGGCAUUCAAAUUAUAGUGUAAAAAAAAAGGAAAAAACGAAAGCGUGUAAAUCGUCGUACGUGUGCACUAUUAUUUCCGGUUUCUGAGAAAUCUAGAAUAGUACUCAUAAUAAAAGUGAAAAUUAGUCAUGGGGAAGUAAAAGAAAGGCUACUGGCGUUAAAUCUAUUUUUGCGAUUGGACAAAGAGUUCGAUAUUCAAAUAUGGCGUCGAAACAGCUGUCAAGUUACGCCAUACAUCGAAAAGCACUUUUCAACUAGUUUCGUCUUUCGUUUUGCUAUCAUCUGAUCAUCAGAUUCACACGUCAUGCCCGAAGAUGUAAGAAAAAGAAAAUGACAGCAACAGAUCGAAAAUACACAUGCUAGAACCAGCGAAAGAGACCAACUGUUGGCCAACGGCCAGUAGAAAUGGCAAUGCUCUGAUAAGUGGCCUGGUGCAUCAAUAAUAACAGAAGAUUCGUAAUGACACGACUUUGUGAACGUUUAUUUACACUGAAAUCGCGCGGCACUGCGCGUGAGGAUUUACGUGGAGAAUUUCGUAUGCACGCGGCAGAAAUAUCACUACGUCAGUUCGGUAACAGUUGGCAGCCAUGGUCGUGCGAUUUCGUCAAGCAGUGACCACCUGGUCGAGUCAACUUAUCUAUUUAGUAACAGAACAAGAGGAACGAAGCCAAAGGUUCGACCAUUAAGAAAUUGGGAUACGAGGUACGAUAAAUAAAGAUUCGAGUUUGACAAAUUUCUUAUUUCUAGGUUAAAUCGCAAUGUGUCAUUAAUUCUUGAAUAUUUGAAACCGAAGUACGAGGGCAUUCGAUAGGUAUGUUCUCGUUGCCUAGACUUUCUGCACUUUUCAAAAAGUCGAAAUUCUUAUCGGAUGAUGUUAUUAAGUAACCAAUGAGAAUCUGCACUUUUUGAAAAGUCUGGCUAACGAGAACUGAUCUAUCGUGUGCAUCUUGACCGAACAUACAGAAAAUUACUCUUGACAUUUACCGGAUAACAGAUGACGUAAAAAGCACAAAUAUGUGGGCAUUAUUUGUUAUUAAGAGGAUUUAAUCGGAAUCACAAGUGUAUACGAGAGUUAACCAUGUGAGACAUAGUGCAGACUUUUAAGGUAUCAGUUUAUAGAUGGAGUUUAGGGACUCGUUAGUUCUGCAGAUGGUAAACUAAAUUUUCUCCUUGUCGUGUCACAAUCUAGAUGAUCGAUCCCCAUUACAAUAUUGAUGAAAUCUACCAGACUGGAACGUCCGUUAUUGUUUCCAAGAGGUCGAACAAUUCCUUACGCAAUGACCAGCCAUAACUAGCUACGAUUUUUUUUCAUUUGAAUUCCGCCGACAUAGAGACGAUUCUCUCAGUCUAUAAUUUUUCUUAUAUUUUUUCUUUUCUCUCUCUCUCUCUCUCUCUCUCUCUCUCUCUCUCUCUCUCUCUUUCUCUUUCUCUCUCUGUCUCUUUGUAAUAAUUCCAUUGACGCUGUUCAAUUAAUGCAAAUACGUGGACACACUGUAACUGGGACGGCUACUUAACCUUAUAUCGUGCCACUGUUCUAAGUCCCAUAAAGUCAUUUCGUUUCGUUAAAACGACCAUUUUGCGUAUGACGUGUCAGGCAAUAAACGUUAAUUUGCGCAGACACGUCGAAAGGGAUAUUAAUAACGUCAAAAAAGACCCAAAAAAGACUAUACACUGUCAGUAAGAACCUUUAACGAGAAAUUAUGAUAAUUUUUGGUUAUCCCGUUUACGAUGACACCGCCCAUUACUUACUAGUCAAUUUCGUGUCAAUUGGUAUCGAUUGUAUGUACGUAAGCUAAUUAACAUCUCACACACGAGACAAUUCAGUGACUUAGAAUCUUCCUAUGUAGAAUCUCGUCCAACGAAAAAAUUUCGUCAUGACUAUUGACUCAAAACGAUAAAGCCAUUUGUCAACAGUGCGUGAGAACAAACUAUGCCGACUUUGACGUAGUAAUUUGAAAAGUCGUACUACAAACGUACACGGUGUAACAAUCGUGAGAAAAACGAUAAUACCCUUAUCAUUGUAAAUUUGUAUUCUAAUAUAAUUCAUUAUUUAAAAUAUCAAUUAAGAAAAAAAUUCAAAAUAAUUUCUUUUAUCAAUCAUCACCUACGUUCAAAGAAAUAUCCGUUAUCUAACAAGUCAUUUAUAAUCCCAGUUCAAUAAACACUAUACGCAUAUCCGAUUUUAAAUUCACUCGUGUAAUUCAUAAAUGAUUUAUACAAAUUACGUAUUGUAUCGACAGUUACGAUUAAGCUGUAUAACGCGAAUAAGAAAACGAUGCAAUUAAUCCAAUGUAAUUAAUGCACCGGCUCGUCUUACGUUUAUCAACGAUAAAACUGUAUCGUUGUUCUUGACCUAGUUUUCUUUCAUUAACAGUUCAUUGACGUGAAACGCAUUGCGAUUUCACUGCUACAGUUUAAGAGUACGAAUUAGCCAUCUUGUCUAUUAGCGUCAGUGGCGACGCGGAGCGGCGCGUAUCGAAACUAUAAUAUUUCGAUUGCGUCAUACCCCUCAUUGUGAUUGUCACGACAGGAAGAAGAAAGACGGACGGAAUUUAAUUAUCGAGGAUCUUAUUUCGUUUUGAAUUAUCACCGAAACUUCCAUGGUAUUAUACAUAAUGCAAUUAUCAAACGUGCACGACGUCAUACAUAUGAAUCUGCCAAUGAAAACUAUGCAGUCUUUCCCAUGACGUAGCUGCUCUCUUGGCUUCUGACAGUUUGCCAAGAAGCUUGAUUCAUCGCGCGGAUACGUUUCUGUCUGAGAUUCCAUGUACUUAUAGGUUAUCUUGAAGGCUACGUAGAACGUGAGUACAAAAGGGAGUUUAAUUUUGAGUGGAUUCAGAUUGGACGAUCUUGUGGGGAAAAAAAAUAGUAAUAACUACAAUGGGCUAUCGUGUUUUUUUUUUGUUUCGUGUAGGAUGAUUAAAGUCGAUGAAUAUAGCGCGUAAGGAAACUGGUAAUUAACUGGUAAUUAAUGUUCUGUCGAUGAAAACGUUACGCCAUGAAUCGGUCGAUGAUGAUCAUCAUCGAACAAUUUCAUGGUCGUAUUCUGAGAUUUCACUAAAUCACUGUAUACCUUAAUUAAUCGAUACUGGAAUCUGUAAUUUUUUUUUUUCUUCUUUAAGUGAAUGCGGAUGGAAGUUUUCCUAAAGUGUAUUUUUAAUGUCUACGUGCGAGAUACUCUUCCUCGCAGAUAAGUCAAUGACGGACAACUGAUUUCUGUCAAGAGAUUGACAAUGCGAGUCAAGUGGUUUGAGUUAUGACGUCGGUACCACAGGAAUGCGAUAAGGAAGUUCAUAUUGCAAAGCCAACAAGGAUAUUAUUACGUUAAAGAGACAGAGUUUAACGUUAUAAUAAAUUGACGUAAUAAACUUUUCGAAGGAAUGGACAGAAAACAAGUGCGCAAGGCUUAGCAAUCGCAAAAUGUGUCUGGUUAGGUUAUCUUCACCGUCCCAACUGCAUGUGCUCAACAGGAUGUGCAAGUACAAGCUCAGUCAAUAUUUUUGAAAAUCACACUGCGUAAUUUUGCUAAAAAUAGAGAUGCGGCUUAACGGAGGCAACCAAAGAAGCUCACGCACGUGAUG
This is a long non-coding RNA of Cephus cinctus (wheat stem sawfly), 4239 nucleotides long. RefSeq lists it as uncharacterized. The record is from RefSeq and is a predicted model, not a curated record. Lineage: Eukaryota; Metazoa; Arthropoda; Insecta; Hymenoptera; Cephidae. The transcript has 3 exons.